This 484-nucleotide ribosomal RNA is filed under the name uncultured bacterium. RNAcentral's name for it is "partial 16S ribosomal RNA". It matches the Rfam family "Bacterial small subunit ribosomal RNA", at positions 29 to 507 of the family's 1533-position model. The record is from RNAcentral.
AUUGAACGCUGGCGGCAUGCUUUACACAUGCAAGUCGAACGGCAGCGCGGGCUUCGGCCUGGCGGCGAGUGGCGAACGGGUGAGUAAUACAUCGGAACGUGCCCAGUAGUGGGGGAUAGCUCGGCGAAAGCCGGAUUAAUACCGCAUACGACCUGAGGGUGAAAGCGGGGGAUCUUCGGACCUCGCGCUAUUGGAGCGGCCGAUGGCAGAUUAGCUAGUUGGUGGGGUAAAGGCCUACCAAGGCGACGAUCUGUAGCUGGUCUGAGAGGACGACCAGCCACACUGGGACUGAGACACGGCCCAGACUCCUACGGGAGGCAGCAGUGGGGAAUUUUGGACAAUGGGCGAAAGCCUGAUCCAGCAUUGCCGCGUGUGUGAUGAAGGCCUUCGGGUUGUAAAGCACUUUUGGCGGGAACGAAAAGGACUGUGCCAAUACCACGGUUCGAUGACGGUACCCGCAGAAUAAGCACCGGCUAACUACGUG